GACGAACGCUGGCGGCGUGCUUAACACAUGCAAGUCGAACGGAAAGGCCCUGCUUUUGUGGGGUGCUCGAGCGGCGAACGGGUGAGUAACACGUGAGUAACCUGCCCUUGACUUUGGGAUAACUUCAGGAAACUGGGGCUAAUACCGGAUAGGAGCUCCUGCUGCAUGGUGGGGGUUGGAAAGUUUCGGCGGUUGGGGAUGGACUCGCGGCUUAUCAGCUUGUUGGUGGGGUAGUGGCUUACCAAGGCUUUGACGGGUAGCCGGUCUGAGAGGGUGACCGGCCACAUUGGGACUGAGAUACGGCCCAGACUCCUACGGGAGGCAGCAGUGGGGAAUAUUGCACAAUGGGCGGAAGCCUGAUGCAGCAACGCCGCGUGCGGGAUGACGGCCUUCGGGUUGUAAACCGCUUUCGCCUGUGACGAAGCGUGAGUGACGGUAAUGGGUAAAGAAGCACCGGCUAACUACGUG
This 468-nucleotide ribosomal RNA is filed under the name uncultured bacterium. RNAcentral's name for it is "partial 16S ribosomal RNA". It matches the Rfam family "Bacterial small subunit ribosomal RNA", at positions 28 to 507 of the family's 1533-position model. The record is from RNAcentral.